UGAACUCCUUGUUAGCAGUUUACUUUUUUGGUCAGACGUGUAGACUGAGCUUUUUCUUUUAACCCUCCUCAGCCUCCUGUGUGUUCUCUGCGUUUGAGUCUGAGUGUUCACCACAGCUGUUUCACUCCCCUGAGCCAAAAUAAAAAACUAAAGUCUCUCCUCAGUUCUUAAAGAUGUAUUUGUCAUGCCUCCUCCUUCUUGCACCCCCCGUACAUAAUGAACAGUCCCUACAUUCCCAGUUACAGUAACCUUCCCAACUUUAAUGAGUGUUGUUUUAAAUGUCGUCCUCUCCUGUUAGACUGAUGUCCUCCCCAAAAACACGUUUGUCAGGCUUUUAUUUUGAAGGCUGUGACCGGAUGUUAUGAGUUUUAUUGCGGCAGACUUGACGGUAGAGUCUCGUGCUUGUGCGGCGGAGCAGCGCGAGCGGCUCAGCUGUUCAAACCUCGGUCAGUUCACACUGAGACACUGACACGGUUUACUUUGUUUAUAACGGAAGUCAGAGAGGAGUUUAUUGUCCCGUGUUUGUCCCGGUAACGUUAGUUAUCCCUGUUUAUUGUCCCGGAGUUUCUCCCGGUUUGUCCCGGUGUUCCUCCGACUUUCUCCCGGUGUUUGCUCCGGAGUUUGUCCCGCAGAGGAAUGUGAGUGUCGGGUUGUAACGUCGCUGACAGUCGGUCAGACUCACCGUUCCUGUUCUGGGUCCAUCUGUGCCGUUAAACCGGAGAAAGAACCGGACCGACCCGGCAUCACCCGUCCGGUCCCGGUGUCGGUGUUUGGAGCCAAACGGAACCCCCAUCCCGGGUUUAAAAUGCCGGGUCUGAGCGCACUGGUCCUUCUGAGUCUGUGUCUGAACCUCCACACAUGCCGGGGCUUCCCCAACAAGCUGCCCGAGCUGAGCGCCUCGCUGCCCGGACACUUCUCCUUCACCGACCCGCUGCUGGACUACGACCGGCUGGAUGAGGAGCUGGGCGGCGGCGGGGGGCGGAACGGGACCGGCGGCCGCACGGAGGAGGGCUGCGGGCCGUGUGAGCCGGACCUGUGCCCGGAGACCCGGAGCUGCCGGGCCGGCCUGGUGCUGGACUCCUGCGGCUGCUGUAAGGAGUGCGGGAACCUGGAGGGUCAGGCCUGCGACCCGGGGGACCGCAGCGUCUACUACGGGCUCUGCGGGACCGGGAUGCGGUGUCGGGCGGACCCUCGGCUCGCAGGAGGAGUAGAGGAGGAUGAAGAGGAGGAGGAGGAGGUGUGUGUGUGUGAGGAGCAGGAGGCGGUGUGUGGCUCUGAUGGAGUCACAUACAUGAACAUGUGUCAGUUCAGAGAGGCCGCGUUCUCCAGACCUGAGCUGCAGACCAGAGGGAGGGGGCCCUGCAAGACCGUCCCCAUCAUUAAGGUCCCCCCUCACAGCCAGGUGAACGGGACAGGAAGUAGUCUGGUCUUCCUCUGUGAGGUCUUUGCGUUCCCGAUGGCGCUGGUGGAGUGGAGGAAGGAGGGCCAAGACGUCGUCCUGCCCGGAGACGACCCCCACAUCUCAGUCCAGUCUCGGGGCGGUCCUUUGAAGUUCGAGCUCUCCAGUUGGCUGCAGAUCGAGGGGGCGGGGCUAGAGGACUCAGGAACCUAUCGCUGCAUCGCUCGUAACAACUUGGGAUCAGUGUCGGCCUCGGCUGUACUGGGAGUACUGGGAGCAGACGCAUCGUGACUGAGAUGAGCAGUCAGCCUGGGUUUGUGAUGUCACUAACCUGAGGAGCCAAUCCUGUGAACUUUGCUGACCGAGCUUUUCAUAAUGCAGCUGAAGGGAGGGAAAUCAGUGGAGAAGCAGAGGAGCUGUCGACCUACCUGGCCAACAGCGUGUCAGAGAUGAAGCAGCUGAUGGACGCCACAGACUACGACCAGGACUUUUACUGAGGCACGUGUGAUGUCACUUCCUGCCGUCUGACGCCAUUUGGCUUCCCUUCAGCAGAGACAGUAAAAACAUGGUGACAUCACACUGAAGGACGACAAAGACAAAUAUUGAUCAUGUUAUUUUAUUAUUAAUAUUAUCUCAGUGAUGUAUGCUAUCGUUACUCUGACGCCACAGUGGGCGGAGACACGGAGGCUCAGCAUGUUGAACGUGUUGAUGAUGUCACAGGUUCGAGCCUGAGUCUUCUGUUGGCUCGUCACUGUGAAACAAACUUUAUCUUAUUAAUAAAAUAAUAAACUAAA
Molecule: non-coding RNA, 2193 nt
Organism: Epinephelus lanceolatus (giant grouper)
Lineage: Eukaryota; Metazoa; Chordata; Actinopteri; Perciformes; Serranidae
Source: RefSeq, a predicted model, not a curated record